UACGUAGGGACCUAGCGUUGUCCGGAAUCAUUGGGCGUAAAGCGCGCGUAGGCGGCCCGGUAAGUCCGUUGUAAAAGUCGAAGGCUCAACCUUCGAAAGCCGAUGGAUACUGCCGGGCUAGAGUCCGGAAGAGGCGAGUAGAAUUCCUGGUGUAGCGGUGGAAUGCGCAGAUAUCAGGAGGAAUACCCAUAGCGAAGGCAGCUCGCUGGGACGGUACUGACGCUGAGGCGCGAAAGCGUGGGGAGCGAACAGG
RNAcentral lists this ribosomal RNA (253 nucleotides) under uncultured bacterium. RNAcentral's name for it is "partial 16S ribosomal RNA". It matches the Rfam family "Bacterial small subunit ribosomal RNA", at positions 524 to 776 of the family's 1533-position model. The record is from RNAcentral.